UCUGGUUGGAUCACCACGUAUUUUCACAUUCUUUAUUCACAGAUUUUUUCUUACUCGCUACAAUUUGAUUUUGGCUUCUACGAGCUACAUAGAAUUUUGUUAGAGCAGGAUACAUUAUUGUUGUUGUUUACGUUCUCCACGUCCUUAGCCCUUCUGACGAUUUGAAUGAAACCAAAGCACUUAAUUCUUCAUUAUUGCUUUCCUCUUACUAUUUCACCAAACCAUAAACCAACCCACCUUCUCCUUAAAAAAAAUAUAUAAAAUACUUAAAAUUAAAAAAAAAAAGAGAGAGAAAGAAUCAGCAGUCCACAAACACACACAUUCUCUUUCACUAGAAGAUAAAAACCAACAGUGAGAAAAAUCAAGAACAAAAACGCGUAAUGUAUAGUAAUAAUUAAAACAACCGAUGUCUAUUAUGAAAUGAGCAAAAUUAAAGUCAAGUUUACACGUUAGAUGGUUGACUUAAAUUUUUGAAAUGAAUAAUAAUAAUAGUAAUUCCAAGAACUAAAACAAGCAACUACCGCAGUACAGCGAAUGACGUUAUCUGAAAAUAAAAAUCAUUUAACACAUUAAUUAAACUAAAAAAUAAAAAAGAAAUGGUAGUGUAGGACAACUUGAAGGAACCGACACACACGUAUACACGAGAAAUAUUAAGUUGAAAAGGUAGAAAAUAUUGAGAAAAUAAAAAUAGAUAGAUUCGAUAAUUCUAAAUAUAUAUGCAUGAAUAAAAAAGGAAAAGGAAAAUUUGGUUUGGACACGGUAACAGUGUUCUCUCACCAAAGAGGUCGCAUUCUGGAGUCGCCAGUUUUCAACUCACAACAACCUUCUUUUUAAACGAUGGAUUGAUCCAUUUGAGAUGCAUUCACUCUCACUCACGCGCCUUCGCUGUGUUUCCUUGUUUUCUUUCUCUCGUUCCGUGGGAACCGCUUCCUUGUCUCCUUCUUCAAUUUCUCCCUUUCUUGCAAUUUCAGUCUUAUAAUAACAAUGACUCUGUAUUAUUCCUAACCUAAAUUAAACCUAGUCUUCUGUUCUGUUCCGUUGCAUUUCACUGUUCUCCAAAAACAACCAUGCCGUUUCCCUGGAAGAAGAACCGCGUCCCUCGAAUCUCCCAAAUCGUCGCGGAUCUCCAAUCGCCAAAACGAGGCGGCUCCCUCGUCGUCGAGACCGGCUUCCCCACCUCCCUCAUCGACCUCUUCGUAAAAAACCGAAGCCGUUUUAGAAAACACCGCACAAAAAAACCGCCACCGCCCGAAGUCCCCGAUCCGCCGCCGCCGCCUCCCUCUCCGGCCAACUCUCCGCCGCCGCCGCCGUCGCAACCCGAUCCUCGUCUCCCGAACCCUCGGACUGAACAGAACGUCGUCGCUUCGGUUUCGGAUCAGGUCGGGGAGUGCUCUUUGAACGUUAUUUUAGUUGUGAAGAUUCUGAUGGUGCUGAUUGUGGUCGCGAGCGUGAAGAGGCUCACCGUGGGAAUCACCGUGUCGACGUUCGCGCUUCUGCUUCUAGAAUACGCGGGGCGGCGCGUGGUUUCGGGUUCCGUUGUGGAAUCGUGGUUCCGGAAGGUUCGGGUUCUGAAGAAGGAGCGUGUUCGGGGGAGUGGAUUAACUGACUUGAGUCAAUUGACCUUUUCCGAGAGUUUUUUAAUUGAUGAAAUUGAGGUUGUGAGUGAUGUGGGGAUUUGUUGUCAAAUGCGUUCUGUCAGUGGUGACGUGGCAUCAGAAAUAGUUGAGGAUUGUUCUUCAGAUGUUCUUGAAGUUUCUGAAUACAAGAUUAAAGGGAGUAGAAGUGGUAGGUUUGGGUCGAGGAUGGUGAAGAAGCUUGUGCCUAAGAAGUUUCGUGCCCCCAGGAAAGAAAAAAAGGAUAAGGGGAAUAAGGAAAUUGAGUAUGAAUCGGGUAGUGAAGUUUCCAGCGCCGUGGAAGAUGAUAAGUUACCCAUGUUAGAAAUUGAAGAGGAAGAUAAGAGCGAGAAUACUGAACAAGCUGAGGUUGAUUGUGGCAUCACUUGUUCCUAUAAUGGAAAGAGAGUGGCCAGAGUUGGGAAUUCAGGUUCUUCCACGGUUAUGGUUCUAGUUAUGAUUGUCCUUGUUGGACUUCUUCUGGGUCGUUUCCCAGCUUUGAUGCUUUCAAUUUCAUGGUGUUGCACGAUGAAAAUAGUUAGAACAUUACGGAGAUCACUCAGAGUGUCUCUGAAGAAGUGCUCUGUUUCAAACUCUUGA
Molecule: long non-coding RNA, 2213 nt
Filed under: Vigna radiata
Lineage: Eukaryota; Viridiplantae; Streptophyta; Magnoliopsida; Fabales; Fabaceae
Description: long non-coding RNA (VRAD_LNC010630)
Source: RNAcentral